UGGGGAAUUUUCUGCAAUGGGGGGAACCCUGACGGAGCAACGCCGCGUGCGGGAGGACGGCCUGUGGGUUGUAAACCGCUUUUCUCUAGGAAGAAGAUCUGACGGUACUGGAGGAAUCAGCAUCGGCUAACUCCGUGCCAGCAGCCGCGGUAAGACGGAGGAUGCAAGCGUUAUCCGGAAUUAUUGGGCGUAAAGCGUCCGUAGGCGGUUUAUCAAGUCAGUUGUUAAAGACUGCAGCUCAACUGUGGGCGAGCAACUGAAACUGAUUAACUAGAGUGCGGUAGGGGUAGAGGGAAUUCCGAGUGUAGAGGUGAAAUUCGUAGAUAUUCGGAAGAACACCAGUGGCGAAGGCGGCUCACUGGCCCGGUACUGACGCUGAGGCGCGAAAGCGUGGGGAGCAAACAGGAUUAGAUACCCCCGUAGUCC
This 426-nucleotide ribosomal RNA is filed under the name uncultured prokaryote. RNAcentral describes it as "bacterial SSU rRNA". It matches the Rfam family "Bacterial small subunit ribosomal RNA", at positions 355 to 796 of the family's 1533-position model. The record is from RNAcentral.